This 2795-nucleotide long non-coding RNA is filed under the name Lynx pardinus (Iberian lynx). The record is from RNAcentral. Lineage: Eukaryota; Metazoa; Chordata; Mammalia; Carnivora; Felidae.
UGGGUCAUGACUGAAACUAACUGCUGAGCUCAGGUAUCUCCUUUCACCCCACCCCCCAAAGGAAACCAACGGAUCUUUGGGCCUAUUAGUAAACAUGUUUUCCACAUUAACCAAAACUGCACGACGAGGAAGCCUGUGUCUCUAGAAAUUGGAAAAUCGGAAUAUGUUUUAUGAUCUAGAGAAUGCUCCUGUGACGGUUCACAAUUGCUUGUUGGCUUUCACUAGACAUUAAGGGUUUCUAGGGCUUAAAAAUUCUGAUGGAAGCCACUAGAAAUAAUAAGGAAACCUCUCCGUAUGCACGGAAAGUGUGAUUUUGUAAAAAGGAGGGUCGGAGGAGUGGUGAUGUGCUUUUGUCAAGGACAAAGAAACUUGUAGGUUUGUGGAGAAGGAGGCUUUGGAGAGAAAUUUUAACGUGUGGCCAAGCUGGCUAAGAUCACAAUUAAAUUUUAAUAUCAAAAGUAAGUGGCACAAAAUUGGUUUUUGCUCUGAAAAACGACGUUUUCUUGAACUUCAGGUUUGCUGUUGACAACAGCUGAUAAAAGUUUCUUUACUUUUUUUUUUAUUUAUUUAUUUUUUAUUUUUUUUUUCAACGUUUAUUUAUUUUUGGGACAGAGAGAGACAGAGCAUGAACGGGGGAGGGGCAGAGAGAGAGGGAGACACAGAAUCGGAAACAGGCUCCAGGCUCCGAGCCAUCAGCCCAGAGCCUGACGCGGGGCUCGAACUCAUGGACCGCGAGAUCGCGACCUGGCUGAAGUCGGACGCUUAACCGACUGCGCCACCCAGGCGCCCCUAAAGUUUCUUUACUUUUCAAGUAACCCACCAGAAAGCCAAGAUCUGGUGCCUUACCAGGUCUUUGUUUUCCGGCACUUUGACUAAAUCAGCCACUAAGUACCGUCUCACAAUGGUCUGUGACCCUCUGUAGUCAAGUGUCCAAACGUGUUGAUGUUUUCAACAGACUUACCCAAAUCGAAGUCUAAAUAAGGCCUUUACUGACCUCAAACUAAGUUUUGAGAAUUUCCAGAGGGUCCCUGAACAUCUCCAAAGGUUUAUUCUCACUUAAACAAAGAAUGAUGUUCUGCUAAUUAGGUUUAUUCGAUCGUGUUAAAUUCUAUGGAAAGCAUGUGAAAUACAUGAUGAUAACCCACUGUGUCGGUAAAUAUUAAUGUUCUGCAAGUUCUGAGAUCCCCACACACCUAGAAUAUCCUGGAUAGCAUCACCAGUCAUAACCGCAGUUCUCUCCGAAUGUUACGUUCAGAAAUAAUCAAGUCGCUCUGUCGGUUCCGCGUCACGGACUCCCGUCGGAUCCCUGACAUCGGGAGUCUUGUCGUUGCACUUUGGUGCCCUGCCAGUGUCCUGCGAAGGCACCUCCCUCCAAGGAGUCACGGAAAGGACUGACAGGUAGGACCUGACAUCGUGAAAGUGAGCGGGAUGAGAAAUUCUAGAACUAAUAACGAGGAAUGGAUUCAAGCAGAACGAGUAUUAGAUGGAACCGAAUGGAUUCAGAACUCUAAUUUUACGACUUCUGCUUUGAAACACUGGUUUUUACCUUUUUCCAAACUUAAGAAAGCCUUCUCUUUUCUCAUGGGAUCAGCAAUUUAAGAUAUUGCUUUGUGAACAAAGAUGAACAUUUUUCUCCCUCUUUGGCCCCUCCAGAAUUUGCAAACUUCGUAUUCUUGUGCAAGUGUACUGCCACUCAAAUGAGUGAUUUAGGAAUCAUGAUUGGGAAUGUUGGUUAUAUUACCAGGCUCUGACCACAAGGUCUUAUUUGAGGGAGAUGUAAAGACUCCGGGAUGAUCGGCUUUCAGGAACUAAGGCUGACCUUAAUGGAGCCUAUGAGGGCCUUACUUACAGGGUUCCUGGCGGCCUGACCCGGUGAGGAGGGAAGGUUGCUUCUUGGCAGGCCCAAGAAUCUCAGGAAAUGUUUGGAACCUUGAGAAGAGAGGAGUUCACCCAAAUCUGUAUGUAUUGCAGGCAAAGUCUGAUGAUGGCUCCUUAGCGCGGCUUCUCAGCCUGGAGAGUCUUUCAAAGUUCACGGGAGAUUCCUUAUGGAAAGUCUGAGCCAAGUGGACUUAAAAGUCUGUAUGGUGAGCACUCUUCUUCUGCACUUAUGUAAAUAACAAGGCCAAGGUACUGAAACUGUGAAAACAGAGUUAAUCUUGCUGUGAAUGUGGGGGUGACUGUAGAGAGAAAUUACGUUUCAGUAACAUGCCUUCGUGGACAGCAGAUUCUAGUGCCGUGAACGGCCCGUGAGGUUUUGCUUUUACCUGUAAACUGGACUAGAUCCCGAGUUCUUCUAUUUUCUUCCUAUAUUUGGCUGCAGCUCUCCAAACUGGCAUUUCCAGUUCACCCCCUCCCCGCCACCAGUCCUUCUGACUCGGAAUCGUUGAGAACCACGACUGCCCUUUCCCUGAAGCCGUGCGGGUUACAGCCGGACACCGUCACGUGAAGUUCAGAGAAACCACAACAGCUCACGUGUGGGUAACUGCCGUGCCUGCUGCUGUGCGGGCCACUCGGAGAGCUCGCCACACGGCCUCCCUGCAGGCCAGGCCCGUCUGUCUCGUUUCCACCGUCUGCUCCACCCCACCUGAAGAUGCCGCAAGCCGGGCCUCCGGACGUCUGCGCGCCUGGCUGCCUCCGGAACUCACCGAGACCGGAUCUGCUCCCCAGAUUAACCUUCGUUUUUUGUCUCCCCAGAAAUGCCUCUUAUUAAGUAUCUGAUGACUUGCCCCCAGACCUAACUCGGGAGCCUCCUGAAACGGAGCCGGCUGCUUAACUGAACGGCCCUGUCGGCAGGA